This is a long non-coding RNA of Pezoporus occidentalis (night parrot), 4203 nucleotides long. RefSeq lists it as uncharacterized. The record is from RefSeq and is a predicted model, not a curated record. The transcript has 2 exons. Lineage: Eukaryota; Metazoa; Chordata; Aves; Psittaciformes; Psittacidae.
UCUGCUGACUGACACCAAUGGGGCGAAUAGGCAGUGGAAGGGGUCUCUCUAUUUUCCUAAGCUGUCUAAAUCAGUUCGGUGUUUGAGGCGUGGUGGUGUGUUUCCUGGGAACUUCCUUUCUUUCUGUUACCCUCCUGAGAAAAGCAGCUGAUCCCUUUGGAGUUUGCAAAGGAAGAUGCGCCCCACAGAGUUAAUGUUGUGUGCACUACAUGGGGAAAAGGUAUGUUUAACAAAAGGUGAGAAGUUAUGGAUCAAAUAAUGCUGUGGAAGCUACUCUCACAAACAAUGAAGAUCAUUCUGGAUGCACUCCAAAUAUCGUUACUAUUGCUUAAUUUCAACUCCAGUGCUGCAUCUGCUUAAGAUAGUGUCAAAGAUGAUAAUCUCACCAGACAGAUACAAAGCACGAAACUGAAAUGAUGUUGCUCCAUUAUUUUAUUUAGUAGUGGUGUGAAACUCCUGGGUUUGUGUGAAUCAUGCAGGAGAGCUGUGAUUUUUACCUUUAAACUCCCCUGAAAAUGCAGCAGUUUAGCAUCGGCACCUGUUCCUUUCCAGAUUACGCCACAUGAAUGAGUUUGGUCGGAGUCACCAUGGUGAGGAAAAGAUAAUGGAAUUUCAGGUAAGAGUCAAUAUGAAUGAAAUAUAAACUGUUUUCUGAGCUGACCCAGCAUCCAGCUCCUCUCAUUCAUACAGCUGUAGCUUCCAGGCAAUUCUCAGUUCUGGAAGGGUUACAAGUGUUCUUCUGUGCUUCAGAGAGAAGGAAGAUGGAAUCAAGGUGUGACAUACAAGAGUGUGGAUAAGAGACUGCCUUUUUUCAGUCAAAGUUCACCUGAAAAAGGUCAUCCCAGUAGAAGAUUAAAACACUGACACAAGCUUGUGGUCAGGAUCCACACACCAUGGAGUGUGUGGAGGGGUGAGCUAAGGAUGCUGAGGUUAAGUCCAGCCUGAAGAAGUUUUUUCUCAUUUCUCUGAGCAAUCAGCAUCAUUGGAAGGAAAUAGCUGCUAAAAUAAAGGGCUCAUUCCUCGUAUAUGCAUCUUUUAUAUAUUAACUUGCUAGUAAAUGUUUACAAGUCCAUCAUUCCUCCCAUCAUUAUGUGACAGAAGGAACAUCUUUUAUUAAAAACAAAGAGAGAUACUGUGGGGAUUGGCACAUCUGUUUUUAUUCCUUAUGCUCAGGCAAACUCUUCAGCCUCAGAGAAAAGGUCUUUGACCCUGGCCUAAAAUACUGUCCAGUGCUUAUGGGGUGUAGUAAUAUGAAAAUCAUCAGACCUGUCCUUGGCAGUAUGUUUCUUUCCAUUAGUUGAUUAAAAUGGUUUAUUGUUGCCUACAGCACUGUUGCUUUGUAUGUAUUUUUGUUACACAGAGCAGAUGUGCCCAGGUCCUGCACUGCUUCUCUUUGUGCGGUUUUUGAUGAAUACAGAAGUGAAAUCACUACCUGGGCAGAUCCCCCUCCCCGGGAAGAGGGAAAGAAGGGAAAGAUGAGGGGCUCAGUGGUGGAGCUGGGGUACCGGCUGCAUGGGGAUCAGCAGGGGAAGGCUGCACUCUUGUUGCAUCAGGAUGAAAACCUUCCCUAUCCUUCUGCUAUUACAAAGAAAACAGGAAAAGUCCAAGUCUUCAGGGAGAAUCUGAUGUUUCUUUGUUUUCUUGUUCUUGCUUGAUGGGGGAGCUGGAAUCUCAAUACAAAUGCUAUUUCCAAGUCCAGAUUCAUUUCAAGCAGUGGCUUUGACACAAGUACCUUUCCAUCCCCCCCCCAGCACAGGUUUUUCUAAGGCAUGUUGUCAUGUAAUAGUAAUAUGAUCUUUCAUUACAGAGUCACAAAUCAUUGGGCAUGUGAUCUUAUGCUCAAUAAAUAUUUAUUUGAGAAUGAUAGGUUAAUUAAUUUCCAUUGUUUCUGGUUUAAUUCUAUACAUGCUUAUACUAUACAAUUAGAGAAAAACACAGAGAACCAGGAGUAAAUGCUACUCAUGCAAAAUGUUUCUAUUAUCCUUUACUUUUAAAACCAUUAAUAGAUUAUUAUGAGAUAUAAACAUAGGAGACCAUGGAUCAUAUUUGCAUGUUAAUGAAAUCCAUGAAUUAUACAUUAUUUGCUGUGGAGAGUACUAGAAACAGUAUUCCUCCUUUCUAAUAGCAAUAAAAGCUGGCGGUUUCCUGGAGCACACAUCACAUCCCCUCUGCAAUACCUUCUAAUAGAAAAGAAAGAAAUCCAGCUCUUCAAAGCAAUCUCUCUCUAAAUGAAAUAGAUUUGUUUGUGUUGCUUUGCAACACACCAAUGUGACAGUUCAUUUUUAAACAAAAUAGUUUUAAUAAUGUCAUUACUAAUAUCUAUUUGGUCAUCUCACUGAAAAAUGGUCUUUUAAUAGGAAUGUUUCAUUUUAAUAAAUGGCAGAAGAGGCAAGCUCUGCCCUGAGUCAGCAGGAAGUGGAUAUACACCAGAGAACAGGCUGAUUGUGUUAGAUUCAUCCAGAACAUUGAACAGCACACAGACAGUCCAAGAAAAAGCAACUGCCUUUAUUCAAAUGAUUAGUUUUACUGCUACGCUGUAGCACAGAUUCACACAUUCUUCUAUUAUUCCUUGACCUUGUGCCAAAACCUCCCACUUGAAGUAAUAAUUAGAAUUAGUGUUUCCAGUGCAUGCUUCCAUCUUCCUCACAAACAGUAAUGAAAUGUGGCUUUUACAAAAUAUGCAGUUAAUUAAACUGGUUUUUGGAGCAUUGUUUGAUUAAUACAGUUCCCCUCUGCGAGCCCCUCAUUAUGCCCAGCUACCUCUACCUGAUACUGGUGAGACGGAAGAAAACCACCACUGAUGGGAUGAGGGAAAGUUCAGAAAUAUGCACUUUAAAAUUGCUUGUGGGGUUGGUUUGGUGGGUUUUUUUCCUUCUUGUUUUGUCUCUGUCAGGGAAUAAACUGGAAAAUUGGUCAUUAUUUGUAAUCCUGUCUUUUAAGCUGAGGACAGUAUGUGUAUUCUCUCCAAAUACCCUCAGCAUGAAUAUGUAGAGCACAUAUAUCAAGUGAUACGAGGUAAUAAGUGGAUUUGGAGGCAGGAUUCUUGCAAAGGUGGCUCAGCAUUGUAUUGCUUAAUAACACCAUGCAAAUAGAAACUCGGAUUUCAUUUUUUCUUUAUUAUUAUUUCAUGCUUUUUUACUGUCUCCCUUAAUUAUCCCAAUGCUGAACAAGUGCAGUCUUUUGAUUGAUGAGAGUUCCACCCCUUUACCCACACCCCUGACAGAUAUGAGGCUCCACAGUUUAGUACCAUAAAUCACUGUGAUUGUAUAACUUAACUACUGUAUGAUCAGGAGAUCACACACAGCGUUAGCCUGAAUAUGCAUUCAUCCUUCGUUAUGGAUGUUUUAGGGCUGAAUUUAUUUGGGAUGUUUGGAGCAAUAAGACAUUUCUGCACAGAAGAAAGCAAUGCAUUUUAAAUAAGCAAUUCUUUCAACAACUGGAAAUAAUCAGAAAAGUCUUCUAUUUGCAAUCUUCAUUAAUGUGAGUUAUGUCAUCACUUUAGGAGAAAUCCUCUCUGAGAAAAACAACAAUUCAGCCCCUUCCCUUCCCUCCCCCAGGUUCUGACAGCUAAAAAUCUAUGGAUCAGCCAGUUUAGUAAUUAACCACAAUUCCUCUGAUUUGUGAAUUUCCAGAUGAUGAGGCAGGAAGCAAGUUAUAUCUCGGAGAAAUUGCCCUCAGGAGAGAGGAAAAAACUACUGCGAGGUUGACAGCACAACCUUGUACUAGCGCAGUUUCCCUUCCCUAGUGGUUCAAGGAGUUCCAAGCACCCUCCUGUAAAUCAUCAGCUCACAUCUAUUUAUUAUCUUCCAGCCCAGUGCACAACACUAUCUGUUACACACGGAUACCAGCAAUAUUACAAGGUGGACUCAAGGGAUAAGAGACAGCAAACCCUGCACACCUCCUGUGCCUGAGUCACACUGGUAUGAAGGCAGGUUCUGUUCAUAAAGUACAUGCUUUUGCCAGAAAUGAGACAGUAUGAACUGUUAUGUUUCAGAGUAAUAUUUUUUUUUAGUGUUUCUCAGCAUCUUAUCAGCUGGUAUCGUUGUGUUAUUACAGAGACAAAAUUUACCUGUGUAGCAAUGGACAAAAUGUCUGUGAACAUAUUGCUAUUCAUUCAAUGAUGGCUGUUGUAUUUGGAGUAGGCACCAGCUACACUCUGUGAUGCUUGUCCUGGAAUACCAAUAAAUAAAUCAUAAAAGCCAA